This is a long non-coding RNA of Oncorhynchus tshawytscha (Chinook salmon), 279 nucleotides long. NCBI's taxonomy places the organism in Eukaryota, Metazoa, Chordata, Actinopteri, Salmoniformes, Salmonidae. The record is from Ensembl.
AGAGAGAGAGAGGGGGUGAGACAGACAGAGAGCGAGAGGGGGUGAGAUACAGAGAGAGGGGGUGAGACAGACAGAGAGAGGGGGUGAGACAGAGAGAGAGCGAGAGGGGGUGAGAUACAGAGAGAGGGCGGUGAAACAGACAGAGAGAGGGGGGGUGAGAUACAGAGAGAGAGAGAGGGGGUGAGAUACAGAGAGAGAGAGGGGGUGAGAUACAGAGAGAGAGAGAGGGGGUGAGAUACAGAGAGAGAGAGAGCGGGUGAGAUACAGAGAGAGAGAGGG